AGUCGAGCGUCUCUAAGCUAUGGAAGAGACGCGGCACACAGCUCAGUAACACGUGGCUAACCUGCCCUUGGGACAAGGACAACUCCGGGAAACUGGGGCUAAUCCCUGAUAGGUGAGAACUCCUGGAAUGGAUUCUCGCUGAAAGGACGUUUAGACCAUGCUUCUAGGCGUCGCCCAAGGAGGGGGCCGCGACCGAUCAGGUUGUUGGUGAGGUAACGGCUCACCAAGCCUUUAACCGGUACGGGCCGUGAGAGCGGAAGCCCGGAGAUGGGCACUGAGACAAGGGCCCAGGCCCUACGGGGCGCAGCAGUCGCGAAAACUCCGCAAUACACGAAAGUGUGACGGGGCUAUCCCGAGUGCCAUCCGCUGAGGAUGGCUUUUCCCCAGUGUGUAAAGCUGGGGGAAUAAGGAGAGGGCAAGCCUGGUGUCAGCCGCCGCGGUAAUACCAGCUCUCCGAGUGGUGGGGAUGUUUAUUGGGCCUAAAGCAUUCGUAGCCUGCUUGGCAAGUCCUCCGUUAAAUCCAACGAUUCAAUCGUUGGGCUGCGGGGGAUACUGUCCGGCUAGGGGGCGGGAGAGGCCGACGGUAUCCCCGGGGUAGGGGUGAAAUCCUAUAAUCCCGGGAGGACCACCAGUGGCGAAGGCUGUCGGCUAGAACGCGCUCGACGGUGAGGGAUGAAAGCUGGGGGAGCGAACCGGAUUAGAUACCCGGGUAGUCCCAGCUGUAAACGAUGCAGGCUAGGUGU
Molecule: ribosomal RNA, 743 nt
Filed under: uncultured archaeon
Lineage: Archaea
Description: bacterial SSU rRNA
Rfam family: Archaeal small subunit ribosomal RNA
Source: RNAcentral